Molecule: ribosomal RNA, 481 nt
Filed under: uncultured bacterium
Lineage: Bacteria
Description: bacterial SSU rRNA
Rfam family: Bacterial small subunit ribosomal RNA
Source: RNAcentral
GACGAACGCUGGCGGCGUGCUUAACACAUGCAAGUCGAGCGGUAAGGCCCUUCGGGGUACACGAGCGGCGAACGGGUGAGUAACACGUGAGCAAUCUGCCCUUCACUUUGGGAUAACUCCCGGAAACGGGUGCUAAUACCGGAUACGACCACAUGUCGCAUGGUGUGUGGUGGAAAGUUCUGGCGGUGGAGGAUGAGCUCGCGGCCUAUCAGCUUGUUGGUGGGGUAAUGGCCUACCAAGGCUUCGACGGGUAGCCGGCCUGAGAGGGUGACCGGCCACACUGGGACUGAGACACGGCCCAGACUCCUACGGGAGGCAGCAGUGGGGAAUAUUGGACAAUGGGCGAAAGCCUGAUCCAGCAACGCCGCGUGAGGGAUGACGGCCUUCGGGUUGUAAACCUCUUUCAGCACAGACGAAGCGAAAGUGACGGUAUGUGCAGAAGAAGCACCGGCCAACUACGUGCCAGCCGCCGCCGUAACAC